Molecule: long non-coding RNA, 769 nt
Organism: Daphnia pulex (common water flea)
Lineage: Eukaryota; Metazoa; Arthropoda; Branchiopoda; Diplostraca; Daphniidae
Exons: 3
Source: RefSeq, a predicted model, not a curated record
UCUGCUAGCUGGGUUACUACGCUUCAAAGAAAGAUAAUCGUAACAAGGCGACAGAUUUCCCAUUUGACUCACGAACUGGACAAAACUUGCGAACUAAAAGAUCAGCUUACCCGUGAAAACAAGAAAUUGGGCGAUGAGAACGCUGAGCUUAAGAGCCAGUACUCUGAACUCAACUGCAGAUUCCAUGAGUUAGAAAUUGAAUAUCGCCGUCUAGAAAAUGAACGUGAAGAGUUGGCAUACAAAGAAAUUCAGAGGCUGCUCGUAACGGUGAAGAAUAUCGCGUUCCACUCAUGGAGUUGCAGCUGAGAUGAACGAAUUCAUCUCGAUAUGGAACACUUCAUGAUAAGGAGGAAGAGCUCGAGUCUAUCAAGUAAUUUUAUCGGCUUUAGCGCUAAAGUAAUUCCAUUUGAGUCACUUAUUCACUCCCAAACGAUUUUGAAAAGAAGCAAAUGUCUAUAUCUAAAUCAACCAGUUGAACUCUCGUCUUGUCCAUGCGGAAACCAAGUUGAAAACCGAAAUUCAGCGCAUCCGGAAGAAGAUGAUGAUCACAAUCACCGAGUUGGAAAUGACAUUCGACGUUGCAAACAAAAACAACAUAUCGAGCAAUCCCUGCAAAUUGUCGUAAAUUUUUAGGCAACUAUCCAAUUAUCUGGUUUUUUGCAUAUUAUCAGUUUCUACUCUUGAUAUGUUGUAUUGAAAUUUGGCAAAGUUUUCAUUUUGUAUAAUUUAAAGGAAAACAAUAAAUAUCUUGAGAUUUAUUUUUAUCAAA